GCAUUGGUGGUUUAGUGGUAAAAUUGGCCGUUGCCAUGGUGGAGCCCUCCUCCCGGGUUCCCCUCCUGUCUCGGCCAGCCCCGGGUUCGAUUCCCGGCCGAUGCA
Teratosphaeria nubilosa is the source of this 105-nucleotide non-coding RNA. The record is from the annotation of a GenBank genome assembly. Lineage: Eukaryota; Fungi; Ascomycota; Dothideomycetes; Mycosphaerellales; Teratosphaeriaceae.